GGGGUUGACUGGAUUUGACAGCGGGCAGAAAUGGUGAGUAAGCAUGCAGUGCGUCGGUGAUUUGCACUUAAAUCUCAGUUAUCAAAAUUUUAUCUGGCGAAAGACAAUUUGCUCUUGCUGCUUAAUCGAAUCAUAGUAGAUUAGCUUAAUCCCGGUACUAGGUACUGGGACGGGACAUUACUCAGAUGCUGUUGAUCCGAAGCGGUCUGGUUAAGUAAUGCAGUAAUAUCGGAAAUAGUUGGAAGUUACCUCGGGCUUUCGAUGAAGAUGAAAUUAAGAGGAUAAGGUAGAAGUUGAUGGCUUUGGUUCUGCUUCUGCACGAAAAUUUAGGCAAAGAUAAGCAUGUAGAAAGCUUGUGAUUUCCUCGUUUGGACGAGGGUUCGACUCCCUCCAACUCCACU
This 401-nucleotide transfer-messenger RNA is filed under the name Bacteroides neonati. It matches the Rfam family "transfer-messenger RNA". Rfam says of the family: Bacterial tmRNA, also known as 10Sa RNA or SsrA, is named for its dual tRNA and mRNA-like properties. The record is from RNAcentral. Lineage: Bacteria; Pseudomonadati; Bacteroidota; Bacteroidia; Bacteroidales; Bacteroidaceae.